AACAACAAAAUCUUGAACCUUACUAGGGCUAUACAGGCCACUAACAGAGUCAACUACCCACCAAAUACAAAAGGAAAAAAGGCUGCCUAAGUAUGAUUCCCAAUCAGAGACAACGAUAGACAGCUGUCCCUGAUUGAGAACCAUACCCGACCAAAACAUAGAAACACAGAACAUAGAGUUUCCCACCCGAGUCACACCCUGACCAACCAAACAGAGAAUAAAACGAUCUCUACGGUCAGGGCGUGACAAUAUCAGACUGUUACAACACUCUGCAACAAAACCUUGAAGGUCCCUUACAUUUCCCUUAGUAUUUCCCAAUUCUGUCUUUGUCAUCAAAUACAAAGUAACAGUGUUAGUAAUGAUGACUGUGGUUGUCUUUCCAGGAGCUGAGUGGCCAUCUUGCUGCAGAGAUCACCAGACUUUGCUCUCUGGCCAAGCAGGACACCUUCCCUCUUAGUCAGGAGAGAGAUGUGUAUGAGCUGGAGAUCUCCCUGCGUGUGAAGGAGUCAGAGGCGCAGUGUCUCAAGCAGAAGAUCACCUCGCUCAAGGAUGAACUCCAGACAGCCCACAGGGAUAAGAGGUAUGCAACAGAGACGUACAAGGACAUCUACACAGAGCUAAGCAUCAUGAGGGCCAAGGCAGAGAGAGACCUGGGACAUCUCAGGGAGAACCUGAGGUUGGCCCACAAAGCACUAGGAGAGCUCUCACCUGCAGUGGACACAGAUAAUAAUGGUAUACAUGACAUUAAGCUGGUGGCCCUGCCUACAGGGAUUCAGAGAUGAACCACUGAUGUGAAAACGACAAUGUGUUGAGUGCUGCCACUCUGAGGCCAAAACCUGCAUGACAGCCAAGUCUCGCUGGAUGUUUCCCCAACCACCUCUGGUUUUGGCAGCAUCACUAGUCUGUAUCGUACAGAUGUCAUUCAUUGCGUAAUACAGACAAUUUGUGAAUAACCUCAUUAUGUUAUGCAUCUUAAUAAUAUUGGAUGUAUCUGAAUCCUCUGACUGUUAUCUGUGCAGUUUGCUGUAGCAUGUCAGUUAGUCCUUUAGAUUUUGAAUAACGUUCUUGACGUUCUGUCCAUUUCUUACACAAAUGAAAGAAAGAGACUCUAAUUAGAAGUCAUCUUGUACAGUGGUGCAGCCUAACCCUAUAGAGAUCUCCUUUGGGUACACAUUUAAAAAAUAGAUAUAUAUUUUUAUUUAUUUCACCUUUAUUUAACCAGGUAGGCAAUUUGAGGCCAAGAUAAAGCAAAGCAGUUUGACACAUAACAACACAGAGUUACACA
Long non-coding RNA from Oncorhynchus gorbuscha (pink salmon), 1285 nucleotides. RefSeq lists it as uncharacterized. The record is from RefSeq and is a predicted model, not a curated record. NCBI's taxonomy places the organism in Eukaryota, Metazoa, Chordata, Actinopteri, Salmoniformes, Salmonidae. The transcript has 3 exons.